CCAAAGGCUCUUUUCAGAGCUACCUCAUUUGGUGAGAAAAGACCUGU
This is a non-coding RNA of Canis lupus familiaris (dog), 47 nucleotides long. The record is from Rfam. Lineage: Eukaryota; Metazoa; Chordata; Mammalia; Carnivora; Canidae.